RNAcentral lists this ribosomal RNA (291 nucleotides) under uncultured bacterium. Its description in RNAcentral is "partial 16S ribosomal RNA". It matches the Rfam family "Bacterial small subunit ribosomal RNA", at positions 354 to 662 of the family's 1533-position model. The record is from RNAcentral.
GUGGGGAAUAUUGCACAAUGGGCGAAAGCCUGAUGCAGCAACGCCGCGUGAGUGAUGAAGGUCUUCGGAUUGUAAAGCUCUGUCUUUUGGGACGAUAAUGACGGUACCAAAGGAGGAAGCCACGGCUAACUACGUGCCAGCAGCCGCGGUAAUACGUAGGUGGCGAGCGUUGUCCGGAUUUACUGGGCGUAAAGGGUGCGUAGGCGGAUGUUUAAGUGAGAUGUGAAAUACCCGGGCUUAACUUGGGUGCUGCAUUUCAAACUGGAUAUCUAGAGUGCAGGGGAGGAGAAU